Molecule: ribosomal RNA, 379 nt
Filed under: uncultured Pleurocapsales cyanobacterium
Lineage: Bacteria; Bacillati; Cyanobacteriota; Cyanophyceae; Pleurocapsales
Description: bacterial SSU rRNA
Rfam family: Bacterial small subunit ribosomal RNA
Source: RNAcentral
CGAAAGCCUGACGGAGCAAUACCGCGUGAGGGAGGAAGGCUUUUGGGUUGUAAACCUCUUUUCUCAAGGAAGAAGAACUGACGGUACUUUAAGAAUAAGCAUCGGCUAACUCCGUGCCAGCAGCCGCGGUAAUACGGAGGAUGCAAGCGUUAUCCGGAAUCAUUGGGCGUAAAGCGUCCGCAGGUGGCUAAUCAAGUCUGCUGUUAAAGACAGAGGCUCAACUUCUGAUAGGCAGUGGAAACUGGUUAACUAGAGUAUGGUAGGGGUUGAGGGAAUUCCCAGUGUAGCGGUGAAAUGCGUAGAUAUUGGGAAGAACACCAGUGGCGAAGGCGCUCAACUGGGCCAUAACUGACACUCAGGGACGAAAGCUAGGGUAGCG